AAGGAAUAAGUGUUAUUUACACAAGAAUUAGUUUAGUUUAUGUUUUUACUUUAUGUUUUCAGUUUCAUAUUUCAAAAAUAGUUAUGUUCAGUUUAGUUGACGUUUUUGAGUAAAUGAGGUAUUUUUCAUACGGUUCGAAUCUCUUCACCGGGCAUUAUGUUAUGAAUGUUAGUAACAUCUCUAUCCUACGGGAACGGGGUGUUACAAAUAAGGUACAUCCGAUUUA
Molecule: long non-coding RNA, 226 nt
Organism: Juglans microcarpa x Juglans regia
Lineage: Eukaryota; Viridiplantae; Streptophyta; Magnoliopsida; Fagales; Juglandaceae
Exons: 3
Source: RefSeq, a predicted model, not a curated record